RNAcentral lists this transfer RNA (72 nucleotides) under Camelus ferus (Wild Bactrian camel). It matches the Rfam family "tRNA". Rfam says of the family: Transfer RNA (tRNA) molecules are approximately 80 nucleotides in length. The record is from Rfam by way of RNAcentral. Lineage: Eukaryota; Metazoa; Chordata; Mammalia; Artiodactyla; Camelidae.
GAGGGCACAGCUCAGGGGUAGAGCACGUGCCUCGCAUGCGUGAGGUCCUGGGUUCAAUCCCCAGUGCUGCCA